CACUUCCGGCUGCCAUUUUUAGGUUAACGUCUGAAGUUAGAGCUGAAAUAUCUGUUAAUGUGCAGGUAUUAUAUAUUAAGUUUUAUGCUGGACAGAAGACUGCGGAGUUUUGAAAUGUCUUUAAAAGAGCGACCUGCAGCAGCAGUAAAGGCCAGACGUGAGAGCUCACUGUAUUGACGAAUGUGACUGUUCCUCUUCUGAGAAAUGCGAAGACCCUGAUGCCAACAGCAAGUACAGUGACCCUGAGAGGUGGGAAUGAGUGGGAGAUUAAGAUUAAUACCUAUGAAAUGACAAGGCAACCCUUGGUGUUCGAUUCAGAAGCGUCAGUGAUGCCACAUCUCCACAAUUUGGUGGGAUGAAAGAGGACUACAUGAACAGAAAACCUUCUACUACUGAAAACGGAGACACUGAAAUGUUCUGGUUUUUUUUCUGGACUUUCCAUCAUAUGUCAUUAUCAGCCUGUUUACAGUGAGCCUUUAGUUUAUAUAAUGUGACAAAAGUUUUCAUUAAAAUAACAAGCAAGCCCUAA
Long non-coding RNA from Perca flavescens (yellow perch), 529 nucleotides. RefSeq lists it as uncharacterized. NCBI's taxonomy places the organism in Eukaryota, Metazoa, Chordata, Actinopteri, Perciformes, Percidae. The transcript is spliced from 4 exons. The record is from RefSeq and is a predicted model, not a curated record.